AUGAUAAGAGACUUUUGGUGGGGGGAUGAGGAUGGACACCGAAAGGUGCACUGGAUGUCGUGGGAGCGAAUGACAAGGCCAAAAAGAGCGGGAGGGAUUGGCUUCAGGGAUAUGCACCUUUUCAACCAAGCACUUCUUGCCAAACAGGGGUGGAGAUUAAUUCGAAAUCCAGAUAGCCUCUGCGCGAGGGUCCUAAAGUCGAAAUACUACCCAAACGGAAACCUUCUAGACAUGGUUUUUGCCUCGAAUGCAUCCCCGGUUUGGAGAGCCAUUGAAUUU
Molecule: ribosomal RNA, 279 nt
Filed under: Triticum aestivum (bread wheat)
Lineage: Eukaryota; Viridiplantae; Streptophyta; Magnoliopsida; Poales; Poaceae
Description: partial small subunit ribosomal RNA
Source: RNAcentral